Long non-coding RNA from Sarcophilus harrisii (Tasmanian devil), 2017 nucleotides. The record is from Ensembl. Lineage: Eukaryota; Metazoa; Chordata; Mammalia; Dasyuromorphia; Dasyuridae.
AGGUAAAGUAUAAGGUUUAUGACAAAAAAGGAAAAUCUCUUAAAAAGAAAAAAACUGAGGGAACCACGUGCAUCAGGGAACUACGUGGCCCCAGGAGAGGAUGGAACCACAUGGCUCCAGAGAUGGCAGCAGGCAGAGCAAAAUGAGUAUUUCCAGGACCACGCUGGGAGCUGAAGUUCAAUGAUGGAGCAGGAGCAGUGGAAUGAUGGCGGAUUUCAUGCACCAAACCUCUUGGAUUCAGAGGAGGGCUUUCCAGAGAAUCCUGAGUUUCUGGACCAGGCAAAGGAGCUCUUGGUCCAAACAUGAGCAGCAAAUGAUGUCACCAUGAUGUAGAGCAGAGGUGUCAGACAACCUACAAGCUGCAUGUGGCCCACAACACUCUGGGAUGGUACCUGAAACAGAUUAAAAUAUAAAUAAGAUAUAUUUAAAUAAAAUUUUUUUAAAGCAUGGUUCACAAGGAUCCUUAUAUACUAUUUAGUGCCCCCUGUUUUUAUUUGAGACUGAUGCCAUCUAAUAUAAAGGAGCAAAUCUGAUGAAGAGCAAAUUUAUCAAGGCAUGUGAUUUGGAAUUUAAAGGAUGAGUAGAGCUUCAACACAUAAAGAAGGGAAGAAGAGCAUUCUAGGUAUAGAGAACAGGGUGAGCAAAGGUAUGGGUGAAUAACUCAGUUUGAGAUCAGAGCACACUUGACUGGAAAAGCAGGGGGUUACCAAAUAGUGGAAAGCCAAGAAAAAAGUGUAUAUUUUACAUUGAUGAGACAAUAGGGAGGGGCAGAGGAAAGAUAACAAAUUUAUUUUGGAUUUUGUCCAGAGAAGGUAGGGUAUUUAAUGAGGCUAUGGCAGUAUUUCAGGUCAAUAUAAAUAAUAGCAAAAGAGUGUAGAUAUCAGUGUUAUGGAGGUAGAGUUAUUACCACAACUUAUUAACCUUUUUGUUUAGUCAUUUCAGCAGUAUCCAACUUUUGGGGGCCACAUUUGGGGUUUUCUUGGCAGAGAUACUGGAAUGGCUUACCAUUUCCUUCAGCUUAUUUUACAGAUGAAGAAAUUGAGGCAGACAAGAUUGAGUAACUUAGCCAGGCUUACAUAGCUAGGAAGUGUCUGAAGCCAAAUUUUAAUUCCUUUCUUCCUGACUUGGGGCUCACAGCUCUUUCCAUUGCACCACUUUGCUGCCCAUAUCAAUCUAUAAGCACUGCUUAGAUGGGGCAAAUACUUUGCUGAGGUCUUUCCUCUUUACAGUCUCUUAGCCAAAAUAAUGUGUGCACCAGUAAUUACACAUGAAGUAAAUCUAAUUUGAGAUUAACUGGUGAAGUAUUAGGAAAAUAUGUGAAGUAGACUUUAAGAGAAACUCUUUAACAGAAGAGGAAAUACAUUUCAAGCAUAGGGAAAACCUUGGAGAAAGGGACAGAGAACCUUGAGGAAGUUCCAUUGCAAGGAACAGGGAAGCCCAGACAAGAGUAGUUAGAAAGGGAAGAAAACCAAAAGAUCUGUGAUGUUUUUGAAAGAUUAAAAAAGAUGACAAAAAAAUUACUGAGUUUGACAGGAAGUCAUUGGUGACUUUUGGGAGAACACUUCAGUGAUGAGACAGAAUUAGAUUGCAAAGGAUUGAGAAUAGUGAGGAAGAGGAGGUAGAAAGUUUACAAAUGAGAGGGGACAGCUAGGUGGUUCAGUGGAUAGAUAGCACACUGGACCCGAAAUCAAGAUGAGUUCAUAUCCUACCACAAAUAACAGCUAUGUGAUCUGAUUGACUCAAAAACCAAAAAGGAAUGAAAAUUUGGGUAAAUUUGUAGGUAGAUGGUGAGGAGUCAGAAGUGAAAGCAUGACAAAGACUGGAUGGCUUCUGGAGAAAAGUGACUGGUUCAGGUUCUUAGGCAUCAUCAUGAUGACUCAUUCACAAGGUAAUUUCCCCUCCCACCUUGCCCUCAAAUACUAAAAGCAAAUAGUUACAGAAAUGCUCAUAACUUCUACUCACUUAUGGAUGAGUACUAUCACACAUUCAGAGAAGUAUAGUAUGUUUUUCACACAGG